GACGAACGCUGGCGGCGUGCUUAACACAUGCAAGUCGAACGGUGAUGCUCCAGCUUGCUGGAGUGGAUCAGUGGCGAACGGGUGAGUAACACGUGAGCAACCUGCCCCAGACUCUGGAAUCAGCGCUGGAAACGGCGUCUAAUACUGGAUACGAAACUGGCCCGCAUGGGCAUGGUUUGGAAAGUUUUUCGGUUUGGGAUGGGCUCGCGGCCUAUCAGCGUGUUGGUGAGGUAAUGGCUCACCAAGGCGACGACGGGUAGCCGGCCUGAGAGGGCGACCGGCCACACGGGGACUAAGACACGGCCCAGACGCCUACGGGAGGCAGCAGUGGGGAGUAUUGCACAAUGGGCGAAAGCCUGAUGCAGAGACGCCGCGUGAGGGGUGACGGCCUUCGGGUUGUAAACCUCUUUCAGCAGGGAAGAAGCGAAAGUGACGGUACCUGCAGAAGAAGCACGGGGUAACUACGUG
RNAcentral lists this ribosomal RNA (468 nucleotides) under uncultured bacterium. RNAcentral's name for it is "partial 16S ribosomal RNA". It matches the Rfam family "Bacterial small subunit ribosomal RNA", at positions 28 to 507 of the family's 1533-position model. The record is from RNAcentral.